Molecule: ribosomal RNA, 450 nt
Filed under: uncultured bacterium
Lineage: Bacteria
Description: partial 16S ribosomal RNA
Rfam family: Bacterial small subunit ribosomal RNA
Source: RNAcentral
GUGGGGAAUAUUGGACAAUGGGCGAAAGCCUGAUCCAGCCAUGCCGCGUGUGUGAAGAAGGUCUUCGGAUUGUAAAGCACUUUAAGUUGGGAGGAAGGGUAGUAACCUAAUACGUUGCUACUUUGACGUUACCGACAGAAUAAGCACCGGCUAACUUCGUGCCAGCAGCCGCGGUAAUACGAAGGGUGCAAGCGUUAAUCGGAAUUACUGGGCGUAAAGCGCGCGUAGGUGGUUCAGUAAGUUGGAAGUGAAAUCCCCGGGCUCAACCUGGGAACUGCUUUCAAAACUGCUGAGCUAGAGUACGGUAGAGGGUGGUGGAAUUUCCUGUGUAGCGGUGAAAUGCGUAGAUAUAGGAAGGAACACCAGUGGCGAAGGCGACCACCUGGACUGAUACUGACACUGAGGUGCGAAAGCGUGGGGAGCAAAUGGGAUUAGAUACCCCAGUAGUCC